UGAAGAGCAGCAGGAAGGCCCAGAGCUCCUGUUCCUGAACUCAGGUCCUGAUGGAGUUUAUCGUUUUCCCCAUAGUGAAGUGGAUGAAAGCAGCCCAAGUCUCAGAAGCUGGCUUCAAGGAUUAAACAGCUUUCACAUCCAGGUAUUUUCUCAUGAAGAUUCUUCCAGUUGGAAACUUACUAAGUUUCAUCAGAUCCUUCUCCUGGUUGUACCUUGGGGUUUACUGGACUUCAGUCAUCUGAGCAUUGAUCAAGCAUGUCUCUCGUCAGUAUCUCUAUUCCCAUCGUCUGCUGAGUCCUUGAAGGUAUCUAUGCUCUGAGGAUGGGAACCUUCGAAUGGCAAAUCGGCUACUGGGGCCAUCUUGUGCUUGCCCUGCAAAUGUUCAGAAGGCAGGGUCAUGACCCCACUCCAUCUUUCUCUGACCAGACAAGUCCUUAACUCUCUAAGCCUCUCCUGCCCACUCCAAUGGGUUGUUGGAAGAAGAUGAAAUCAUAGAGGGAGAAGACUCCAGAUGUUGAAGCACUGUGCAGACGGAGGGCAGUGUCCUGAUACAAUUUCGGAACCUUGGCUCACAGCAGGGCGAG
Molecule: long non-coding RNA, 584 nt
Organism: Nannospalax galili (Upper Galilee mountains blind mole rat)
Lineage: Eukaryota; Metazoa; Chordata; Mammalia; Rodentia; Spalacidae
Exons: 4
Source: RefSeq, a predicted model, not a curated record